AGCAGCCGCGGUAAUUCCAGCUCCAAUAGCGUAUAUUAAAGUUGUUGCAGUUAAAAAGCUCGUAGUUGAAUUUCGGGAUUGGCGCAUCGGUCGUGCCUCACGGGGUAUGAACUGGUGCAGUCAAUUUCUCACCUUCUGGAGAACCGCGAUGUCCUUAAUUGGAUGCCGCGGGGAGCCAGGACCUUUACUUUGAAAAAUUAGAGUGUUUAAAGCAGGCAUUUUUGCUUGAAUACAUUAGCAUGGAAUAAUAAAAUAGGACGGCAUGGUUCUAUUUUGUUGGUUUCUAGGACCACCGUAAUGAUUAAUAGGGAUAGUUGGGGGCAUUAGUAUUCAAUUGUCAGAGGUGAAAUUCUUGGAUUUAUUGAAGACUAACUACU
RNAcentral lists this ribosomal RNA (377 nucleotides) under uncultured Glomeromycotina. Its description in RNAcentral is "SSU rRNA". It matches the Rfam family "Eukaryotic small subunit ribosomal RNA", at positions 569 to 944 of the family's 1831-position model. Lineage: Eukaryota; Fungi; Glomeromycota. The record is from RNAcentral.